RNAcentral lists this long non-coding RNA (259 nucleotides) under Eucalyptus grandis. RNAcentral describes it as "long non-coding RNA (EGRA_LNC007163)". The record is from RNAcentral. Lineage: Eukaryota; Viridiplantae; Streptophyta; Magnoliopsida; Myrtales; Myrtaceae.
AGAGCUUAUCUCGUCAAGCAAAAAUGUUGCAAUCUAUCUUUAGUGAGAAAUUGCGACUCCAAGAAGAGAACCAAGAAAACCUUUUGAAUCUUCUCAUUUUCCUGAGGUAGUCGAGUUUGAUGCCAUCAUGAAAAGAUAGCGACAUAUCUAGAUGGAAGAAUAUCUAACCUGAAGGGUUUGCCUCACAAGAUCAAGGAGGGUGAAGAAUUCAAGUACACAUGAUUCAUGGUCCUAAGUUGUUCCAUUUCCUCAUUUAAUU